UUAACUGAAACCAAAGAGAGGUAUAUUAUUGUUAAUAAUAAAAUUGAAUAGAUAAUUCCUGUUAAG
Molecule: transfer RNA, 66 nt
Filed under: Nasutitermes exitiosus
Lineage: Eukaryota; Metazoa; Arthropoda; Insecta; Blattodea; Termitidae
Also listed under: 1 other name
Description: tRNA-Asn
Source: RNAcentral